RNAcentral lists this non-coding RNA (181 nucleotides) under bovine gut metagenome. The record is from RNAcentral.
CCGGUUUCGGUUCCCCCGAGAGGGGGCGAAGAGGGAAUCAGGUGUGAAUCCUGAGCAGACCCGCUGCUGUGAGUUCCAAGCAGUUAGCAUGCCGUGAGAAGAAAAAAACCACUGUGAUGCGAAGCAUCAUGGGAAGGUAAAAACGGCAUGCGGAACGAGCCAGAAGACCUGCCGCGACCCA